AAAGUCGUAACAAGGUAACCGUAGGUGAACCUGCGGUUGGAUCAUUAAAAAAAAUAUGGCAUUCGCUCACAGUUUCACUUAACAUCUAGCUAGUUCUUACCCCCACAUGUGCAAGUGUGUUCUUAUAUAGCACACUUGCACCGUCGCGGUAGUUACUUAUCUGUGUUGAAGCAGAGUCACUGUGAUGCGAAUAUGUCCAUCCACAUUUUGUGAAUUGACUCCGUUUCUGGCGGGUGGGGCAGUGAAAGCUGCUUGUCAGCAUCACCACGUUGCGUCUGCAACCUCUGUGGUGCCGUGGACACCCCGUCAAACCCCUUUUGACUUUAUGAAUAUAUGUAUUUUGUCUGACAUUAAUUGUAUCAAUAUACAAAACAACUUUUGGCAACGGAUCUCUUGGCUCUC
Molecule: unclassified non-coding RNA, 402 nt
Filed under: Chytridiomycota sp.
Lineage: Eukaryota; Fungi; Chytridiomycota
Description: partial contains small subunit ribosomal RNA, internal transcribed spacer 1, and 5.8S ribosomal RNA
Rfam family: Eukaryotic small subunit ribosomal RNA (bases 1-47)
Source: RNAcentral